Long non-coding RNA from Oncorhynchus mykiss (rainbow trout), 865 nucleotides. RefSeq lists it as uncharacterized. Lineage: Eukaryota; Metazoa; Chordata; Actinopteri; Salmoniformes; Salmonidae. The record is from RefSeq and is a predicted model, not a curated record.
AGAUCCUCCAUUUGUCUCCGCUUUUGAACACUCCAGCAGUUCUCCAUUUCUUCCAGUGUGAGAAGUUAACGAGUUGGCAUUUCCAUGAGACAUCGAGAUGGUGGGGGGAAAUCCUUUGAAUCAACAUGCUAUGAAGGUUUGAUUGUGACAUUUUGAAACCUUCAAGACGUCCUCAAUCCCUAGCUACCUGGACAAGGGUCUUGAGUUGAGCGGCAGCCUCCUGUAGAUGUGGCUCCUUAGGGUUGGUGGAAAACAAGGCCCGAUCUCCAGCGUACAGGCCACGGAUGGCACAGCGGAUGGGGGAGGGCUGGGCUCUGAGCUUUAGGUUACAAAGGGCCACCAGAAGCUUGACCAGCUCCUCCAAGCCCUGCUGGACCAGACUGCUGCACUAGCGCAACCUUGACAAAAUCCAGCCGGCCAUCCUCUAGAUACACCACUGGAGAGUGACCUUCAGGCACAGCAUGUCAACGGAGUUAGUCAUAUCGACAGCCUUGCCACAUAGCUGGACUUCAUACCUGAAGUGUGCAUCUGUCCUGUCUUGAUAUGCCAUAUGUUGUUGGUUAUAUAUGGUUAUGCAUUUGUCCCAGACCUGUGUUCAAAUCAUAUCUAUUUAAAUAACCUGAAUACAUUUCGAAAAAAUGAAAAAUGGAUCGGUGUGGCUAGAAGACCGGUGACUUUGACUGCCGAACACCACCCGAACAAGGAGAGUACCCCGCCCCCCCGGCCUCAGGGACGCCAGGCGAUCCGGACGGAGACGGUGGAACUCCUGCAGCCUUGAAGGGUCCAACACGUCCCCCACCGGAACCCAGCAUCUCUCCUCUGGACCAUACCCCUCCCAGCCCACUCCCUUGGCUGAGAAGCAACC